RNAcentral lists this ribosomal RNA (403 nucleotides) under uncultured bacterium. RNAcentral's name for it is "bacterial SSU rRNA". It matches the Rfam family "Bacterial small subunit ribosomal RNA", at positions 362 to 758 of the family's 1533-position model. The record is from RNAcentral.
UAUUGCACAAUGGGCGCAAGCCUGAUGCAGCCAUGCCGCGUGUGUGAAGAAGGCCUUCGGGUUGUAAAGCACUUUCAGUCAGGAGGAAAGGUUAGUAGUUAAUACCUGCUAGCUGUGACGUUACUGACAGAAGAAGCACCGGCUAACUCCGUGCCAGCAGCCGCGGUAAUACGGAGGGUGCGAGCGUUAAUCGGAAUUACUGGGCGUAAAGCGUACGCAGGCGGUUUGUUAAGCGAGAUGUGAAAGCCCCGGGCUCAACCUGGGAACUGCAUUUCGAACUGGCAAACUAGAGUGUGAUAGAGGGUGGUAGAAUUUCAGGUGUAGCGGUGAAAUGCGUAGAGAUUUGAAGGAAUACCGAUGGCGAAGGCAGCCACCUGGGUCAACACUGACGCUCAUUACGAAA